UGCCAGCAGCAGCGGUAAUAUGGAGGGGGCUCGCGUUGUUCGGCAUUACUGGGCGUAAAGCGCGCGUAGGCGGGCUGGUCAGUUGGGGGUGAAAUCCCGAGGCUCAACCUCGGAACUGCCCUCAAUACUGCCAGUCUAGGGUUCGAGAGAGGUGAGUGGAAUUCCUAGUGUAGAGGUGAAAUUCGUAGAUAUUAGGAAGAACACCAGUGGCGAAGUCGGCUCACUGGCUCGAUACUGACGCUGAGGCGCGAAAGCGUGGGGAGCACACAGGAGUAGAUA
RNAcentral lists this ribosomal RNA (279 nucleotides) under uncultured bacterium. RNAcentral's name for it is "partial 16S ribosomal RNA". It matches the Rfam family "Bacterial small subunit ribosomal RNA", at positions 506 to 784 of the family's 1533-position model. The record is from RNAcentral.